GCUCACCAGAUGUCUGCCCUAAGUUCGGCAUCAAUAGUGUGACCUCCUAGGAGUGGGGGGCCACCAGGUUGCCUAAGGAUGGGUGAACUGGUCCAGGUCAGAAAGGGAGCAGGUCAGAACUGCCACACCGACUGGUAGUGGGACUGUGCCUGGGC
RNAcentral lists this signal recognition particle RNA (155 nucleotides) under Chlorocebus sabaeus (green monkey). RNAcentral's name for it is "Metazoan signal recognition particle RNA". It matches the Rfam family "Metazoan signal recognition particle RNA", at positions 97 to 251 of the family's 299-position model. From Rfam's summary of the family: The signal recognition particle (SRP) is a universally conserved ribonucleoprotein. It is involved in the co-translational targeting of proteins to membranes. Lineage: Eukaryota; Metazoa; Chordata; Mammalia; Primates; Cercopithecidae. The record is from Rfam by way of RNAcentral.